Molecule: long non-coding RNA, 1102 nt
Filed under: Numida meleagris (helmeted guineafowl)
Lineage: Eukaryota; Metazoa; Chordata; Aves; Galliformes; Numididae
Description: lncRNA (ENSNMEG00000018621.1)
Source: RNAcentral
CUUUUGUGUGGAUAAUAAUAUAUUCAUGUUCUUUCAAUAGGGUAAAAGCCAGACCUAGUGCAUUAUGGUACAGUAAAAAUAGCAGAAGGAGCUUGCUGGAAUAAUCUUGAAGAAGAAAUGUAGUAUUCGGUGACUUAAGCUUUCAGCUCCCAUCUGAAAUUGUACUUUGCUUUUAUUUGCGAGCUGGGCUUUAGUUGUUGAUUUGUUGCUGCUAUACAAUAUUUGGUUAAUUGUGGAAGAUCUCAAGCUGUGCUCAUCACUGCUCCCGCGAAGGCUGCUGCCAGCUGCUAGAAGCAGAGCCUGCUGCUACAGGAUGUACACUAUUCACAGGAGCAGCCUCUCAGCGCUGAUUAUCACUGAAGAGGUCCUCGCUCUCCAUCGCUGCACCCUGCGCGCAGCCGGACUGCCGAGCGCGGGAGGAAGGCUCUCCCCUCUCCUCAGGCCCAUGAAGAGUCUUGAUGAGCGAUGACUUCACGUUGUUCAGCAUGGGAACCUGUCUGCAAACCUGAGGCCUUAAUACUUGCUUUAAUACCUCAGCUGAAGAUAACAGAAAGUUCAUUUGCUGCUGACUGCUGAAAUGAAGCUUGCUUUUCCAUCACAUUCUUAUAAUUUUUCUGCAAAUCCAGUGUGUUGUAAGGAUUAAUAAGACAUUUCUGGUUUUCUCUCAGAUACUAAUCACUGUUUUAUAAGAAAAUUUUCCAUCAGUCAUACUUAUUCUUGCCAUUACGUGGUAGCACAGAAGCUGUUUGAAUGUGGCAGAAAGCAAAGUUCACCUAGAAGCAAAAUCAUUGUUUCCGGAUGUGGAGGAUUUUUCAAAACUUAGCCCUUCAGUUAAAAUGAGCAAGAGCAUUCCCCCUUGCUGGGGCUAAUGCAUUGGGUAGUUCAGUGCAGAUGGAAUUUUUUAAAAAUACAGCAAGAAAUCUUCCCCAAGAGUCUUUAGUUACAAAUGGAAACUACCAGACAUUUAAAAUCAGGGGAUGCUCUGUAUUCUUGUCAUGGGGCUAAUCUUGAAAAGUAUGACUCAAACUUUACAGAUUUCAAACGUUGUGAAUGUUAACUGAAAUGUAAUAAAAAAUCAUAGUCAUAAGUAUGACUGCUCUUU